UCCUGAAUGAUGAGAAACAAAGGCAUAUCCAGUCUCCCUCUCAUUUUAAUCCGGAUUUUCUAUCUUUUAAUGCCUACUCUAACAGGAAGCCAGACUCUAACAAGGCUGCAAUGUCUAAUACUUUCUCUUCUUUUAAACAAAGAGAUAACUUUGAUCAAGGUAGAGGGUCGUUGUUCUGUAGAUACUGUAAGAAGUCUGGGCAUCUAAUUAAUAAAUGCUUCAAACUUCAUGGGUAUCCACAACAUACAACCUUCAAAGGGAGGAAAUCUGGUGCUGUUAAUGCUGUUGCUUCAAAUUCUGAUGGUCAUUUGUCUGUUCCUCAAGGGAAUCCUGCUGCCCACCAUGAAUCUGUCUCAAAAACAGAUGGUCAGUCUUCUGUGAUACCUGGGUUGAGCAGUCAGC
This 402-nucleotide long non-coding RNA is filed under the name Nicotiana benthamiana. RNAcentral describes it as "long non-coding RNA (NBEN_LNC002162)". The record is from RNAcentral. Lineage: Eukaryota; Viridiplantae; Streptophyta; Magnoliopsida; Solanales; Solanaceae.